This 460-nucleotide ribosomal RNA is filed under the name uncultured Bacteroidota bacterium. RNAcentral describes it as "bacterial SSU rRNA". It matches the Rfam family "Bacterial small subunit ribosomal RNA", at positions 338 to 795 of the family's 1533-position model. Lineage: Bacteria; Pseudomonadati; Bacteroidota. The record is from RNAcentral.
CCUACGGGAGGCUGCAGUGAGGAAUAUUGGUCAAUGGGCGCAAGCCUGAACCAGCCAUCCCGCGUGGAGGAAGACGGCGCUAUGCGUUGUAAACUUCUUUUCAAGGGGAAGAAUUGUCCCGACGUGUCGGGGCUUGCCGGUACCUUUGGAAUAAGCAUCGGCUAACUCCGUGCCAGCAGCCGCGGUAAUACGGAGGAUGCGAGCGUUAUCCGGAUUUAUUGGGUUUAAAGGGUGCGUAGGCGGAUCGGUAAGUCGGCGGUGAAAUACCAUGGCUCAACUAUGGAAUUGCCGUUGAUACUGUCGGUCUUGAAUAUGGUCAAGGUAGGCGGAAUGUGUAAUGUAGCGGUGAAAUGCUUAGAUAUUACACAGAACACCGAUUGCGAAGGCAGCUUGCUGGGCCAGAAUUGACGCUGAGGCACGAAAGCGUGGGGAUCGAACAGGAUUAGAUACCCCGGUAGUC